GCCGGGUGGGACUUACCAGCUGGGGAGGUGUGCCCCCAAAUAAUUUUUUUGCUCUCUGUCUUGAUCUGCCCCCCUGCCCCUUCCCUCCCCACAGACUUACCUGCUGAGCAGAGGGUGAGGGGGUGGCAGCGGUGCACAGUAGAUCUUGGGUUGCUUUUAAAUGCCAAAAGUUAUCUCCUACUUAAAAAGGUUGGAGACCACUGUUCUAGGGUGAGAAGGUCUUUCAGGGAGCUAGAUCUCAAGCUCCUAAUACAGCUCAGGGCCUUGAAUUGCGUGCUGAUGCGUCCACAGUAGGGUUUCCUGGUGUGAAACGUGAAAAUGACUCCUUUUCCAGUUUGUUCUGCCACACCAACUUCGAACCACUUUCUGCGUCUGGAACCAAGAAACUCCAAACAUAGCUAAUUUUAGCAGUUCUGUCUCUCUGUUGAGCUGGUCUUAAUUUAUAGAGACAGACAUGUAGGACCUGUGCCCAUUUGCAUACAAGUCAGUUACUAGUCUCCUAAUGGCACAAGGUUCAAGAUAAACUGCAAAGAACAUUCCAAAUGGAACGUAGUCAUCCCCUGCAUGCAAGCCCUUGCUUCUCGUAAAAGAAAAAUAACCCUGGGAAAUAACUAGCAUUUCCUUUUAUGUGUAAAACAAAGGUAGGGAAGGGUGUCAUUGGAGUGAUCUCUGUUCAAAGAACUCUGUUCAUUCUUUCAGCACUAUCAUUUCUUAACCGGAAAUAUGACUAACUUUGUAUGCAACACACGCACACCUAUAAUGACACCCAGCAAUCACAGCUUAGUCCUCUUUAAUGAUGUAACUUGCAUGACCUGUCUGGGGCCCAGUGCCAGUGAUAAAGCUUUAAUCGGUACUUUGCUUUGUUACUAAUGAAUGUCAGACAAGUUCUUGCCAGGCUGUACUAAGGUUUACCAAAUUAUAAUCCUGUAAUAAUGAGUACAACAUAUCAGUAAAAACCUCAGGCAGAAGAAGCAAGGUCUUCAGCUUGAUUUAUGCUGAAUAGCAUGUUAGUGGUGACAACUACUUCAGAGUAAAGAUGGGAAGAUGACUGUUCAUUUGUGGCUGAAGCCUGUUACGGACAAAGCAACAGUGAAAUAGCAAUCGCUUAAAGACAUGUCUACAGAAAAUAAUUUAUUACAGUUGGUUAGUUUAGUACUGUUCUUGUGGAUUUCCUUCCAGCAGGUGACACAUGAGGAGACUGCUAACUAAGAAAACAUCUUAGCAGCACAAAAUAAUGUGAAGUUAUUGACAGGGAAACUUCAAAAGGAGUAAUAACACCUGGAGGUUUCUGCCUUACAUUUCCUUUUGCUGUAAAUAAUUUAAGUGCAUUAAUUAAGUUGAAAUCUUUGUUACUUGAAAUUAAUUGGACUUCUAUAAUGUCUUUCAUCUAAGGGCCUCAGUCAAUGCAUAAAGUUUUACAACAUCCUGGGACUGUCAUAUUGAGUCAUACCAGCAAAUAUCUGAUUUUUAUGACUUUGAGGAGCUUUUAUGGAAAAAUGGCUUCUAGCUUCCAAACUAUGGACUACAAAAGCGUGCUCUCCUCAACAUCAGAAAGCAUUUCUAUGCUUCUGAAAAGGCAGCCUGUGUGUCAGGCAAGGUCACUGCACAAUUCCCUCUGCCCUAUUUAAAAAUAUCUCACAAUCGUAACCAAUGUAAACAGUCACCUAGUCCCAGUCUGUGCCUCUGUAGUGCAUGUUUGACGUAGCAAAAGAAGGCAUCUAAAAAAAGCAGAUAUGUUUCCCCUCUGGAUGUUAAAAUCUCGGUUGAAAAAAGGAGGGGGGAAAAGCAAAGGAACCAAAAUCUGAAAUAUCAAUAGAGAAGCUGCAUCUCUUUCAAGACGAAUCUCUACUGAGACUAACUAAACAAGAAACCAUUGAGGAUAUGUAAAAAUUCCUCUCUUCUUGCAUUGAGUCUCUCUGCAACCACUGGCCACUGGCUUCUCUGCUCCUUUUUGUAACAAAUGCUCCACUCUCUUUUGCCCUACCGCAGUGGUACAUAACUUUUUGGCCCUGAGGGCUGGAUGAGUGGCAUGAGGUUGGUCCACAGGCCAGAUAUGAUCUGUAGACACAAUCUGGAGUGUACAGGACUGGGCCCUGAUUCAGCAUUUUUAAAGUAUUGGUUGUUUGACAUGGUUAUACAAUUUUAUAUGUUUGAGUAAGUUUGAGUAAGCUCCUGGGAGAGCAGUGAAGUGGUCAGAGGGCAGUUGAGAUAAUCAAAGGCACGUGACAACAUUUAAUUAAAUUUUUUUGCAAUUUAUUAGCUGCUUCCCCAACCAUUGCCAAAUUUCCAAGACUGUGGGCCACAUGACAUGGUCCUGUGCACACUGUUUGGUGUAUUCUGUCCAUUGCUAAACCAGUGUAGUAUGUCAUCUAGCCACUUCCUAUACUAUUUGCCCUCUACCAGACUGAAGACCAGGGUCUUUAGUAGGUGAUUGUCCUUUGUUUGACUAGUGCAUGUGCAAACACCUGGAGUUUGCUUCUCAUUGCCAUAUCAGUGACAUCUCUCUUGGCCUGCUGAUUGCAAGCAGCUGUCUGCAACAUUUCAUUUCAAAGGCCAGGGGCUGGGCUGGGCUAGGCUGGGAAACAAGAGGGUGUCAGAUGAAAACUGCCAGGCACUCCCUUUUUAGCAAGCAGCAUGCUGGCUUAGCUGCAUGCCUUGUGUUUAUUUUUUUAAGUUGUCAGAGGGCCUGUGACCCCUUGGGCCAUAUUGAGUCAGGCAUUGGAGAAGGAAGGUUGGUGCCCUCUAUAGCUCAGGGAUUGGUUCCAGGAUGGGAAAGGGGAAUGGGUAAGGUGAAGGCUUCGGGGAUAGCUCUGUCAGGCCUUCAGUCAGUGCAGAUGUAGUCAGGGAUCUUCUGGAAGGGCUAGACAUUUUUAAAUCUGCAGGUUCAGAUGCCCUCCACCCAAGGGUGUUGAGGGAGCUGGCAGGGGUCAUCACGAAGCCCUUGGCCCAGCUGUAUGAGCAUUUGUGGUCAUCUGGCCAGGUGCCAGGGGAUUGGAAACUAAUGUGGUCCCAAUUUUCAAGAAGGGGAGGAAGGAGGACCCAAGUAACUAUAGCCUGUAAGCCUCACCUCGGUGCUCGGAAAGAUCUUGCAGAGAAUCAUCAAGGAGCACAUCUGUGGGGGCCUGCAAGGGAGAUCAUGCUCAGGGCCAAUCAGCAUGGGUUCAUCAAAGGCAGGUCCUGCCUGACCAUAGAUUCAUAGAUGCUAGGGUCGGAAGGGACCUCAAUAGAUCAUCGAGUCUGACCCUCUGCAUAGGCAGGAAAGAGUGCUGGGUCUAGAUGACCCCAGCUAGAUGCCUAUCUAACCUCCUCUUGAAGACCCCCAGGGUAGGGGAGAGCACCACCUGAUUGCCUUUUGUGACCAAGUAACUAAAUCCUUGGAUGAUGGUGUUGCUGUGGAUGUAGUCUUUCUAGACUUUAAGAAAGCCUUUGACACUGUCUCUCACCCCAUCCUCAUCAAUAAAUUAAGAGACUCUGGCAUUGAUGCCUAUACAGUUGGAUGUUUAAAAAAUUGGCUGAUGGGGCGCACCCAGAGCGUAGUGGUGGACAGGUUGUACUCAACCUGGCGAGAUGUGAGCAGUGGGGUACCCCAGGGCUCGGUCCUUGGGCCCACACUGUUUAACAUCUUCAUCAGUGACUUGGAUGAGGGGGUGAAAAGCACGCUGUCCAAGUUUGCUGAUGACACUAAGAUGUGGGGCGAGGUGGACACACUUGAAGGGAGAGAGAGGCUGCAACUAGAUUUAGACAGACUACAAAAGUGGGCAGAUGAGAAUAGGAUGGGGUGCAAUGUAGACAAAUGCAGGGUGCUGCACCUUGGAAGAAGGAAUCCACAGCAUACAUACAGGCUGGGGAGUUCCCUUCUUGAAAGCACAGAGGCAGAAAGGGAUCUUGGAGUCAUUAUUGAUUCCAAGAUGAACAUGAGCCACCAAUGCCAGACUGCAGCCAGCAAGGCCAGCCAUACCUUGUCAUGCAUCCAAAGGUGCAUCUCAAGCUGGUCCAGAGAGGUGGUACUCCCCCUCUAUGUGAUUUUGGUCAGGCCACAGUCGGAGUACUGCGUCCAGUAAUGGGCACUGCACCUCAAAAGGGAUGUGGCCAGCCUAGAGAGGGUUCAGACGAGGGCCACCCGCUUGGUGAGAGGGCAGCAGAACAGGCCCUAUGAGAAGAGACUGAGGGACCUGAACCUGUUCAGCCUCAGCAAGAGGAGGCUGAGGGGGGACCUGGUGGCUGCCUAGAAACUCAUCAGGGGAGAUCAACAGCAAAUAGGUAGAGCCCUUUUCUCCCCAGCACCACCUGGGGUGACAAGGAACACUGGUCAUAAGCUGAUGGAGAAUAAGUUUAGGUUAGAGAUCAGAAGGCAAUAUUUUACAGUUAAGGUGGCCAAAAUCUAGAACCAACUUCCCAGGGAAGUGGUCCUCGCCCCUAUCUUGGGCAAAUUCAAGAGGAGGUUGGACGAUCACCUGUCUGGGGUCUUGUGAACCCAGCAUUCAUUCCUGCCUGUGGCAGGGGGGCAGGCUAGAUGAUCUGUUCAGGUCCCUCCUGACCCUAGCUACUAUGAAACUAUAAGGCUGCCCGCUUCCUCUCUGUUGGGCAGAGUUGUUCACUCUGGUCUUCAGCCUACGGGGUUAGGUCAGGUGUGUAUCCAAGGCACAUGCCAGAAUGCUCUCUCACCAUCAGGAGUGUACUUCAGCCCAAAGCCCAUCCCUAUCAUCUGCUGCUUGACCACUGAAAAACAAGCUGAGUUGUGCCAGUGACCAUCUCCUUGGCCUAUGGUACUUUGGCUUUAUCCGUCUCACCUAGGAGUUGCUAGCUUUUAAGAGAGGAGAUUCUUCCAGUUUAAAGAAUCACUCCUUUUGUUCAGCUUAUGCUCAGAAAGUACAGAUGCUCUUUUGUUUUGUCAAAUGCUCUGAAAUCAUGCUUAUCACUGACAAUAAGUAAGCUCUAAAAGAUAACAAAAAAAUUUAUUAUAAGAACAAGAGCAAUCAUAAGCAAUCAGUAAACUUAUGCUGAGAUAUUAGAAUACAUGAACAAAAGGAAAUAUUAGAACAGUGAUUUGACUUUAUCCCUGCAUCUUAGCCCUAAGAUCUAAGAAUGUCCAAGCCAAUGCCCUUGCCCUGACUGUCAGCUUGCAUUGCCCAACUAAACCAUGAGGGGACUAAAGCAACCUAUGCACAAGAAACUUUAUAUAAUAUUUGCCUUUCAAGGCCUGGUUUAAGUAUGAUUUCUUAUUUUGCCAUCUGCAUUUCUCUAUGGAAUUCUUGGGAUAUAAAUCUUAUGUCUACAACUUCCUGUAACAGUUUUAUAUCUGUUUGACCCCACAAGCACCUUUCCUAAUCCAAUUAUAACCAGAAAAAAAGUUUACAGCCUUAUAGCCACAAAAAUUACUAAUCCAGUAUCCUAGAAACAUACACUAUGUACAGACAUUUGCUCUUCCAGGGGAAUCUCUUCUGGGAGUAAUUUGACCCUGGUUGUUCCUGGGUUAUUUUUCUUCUGGAGUGGCCAUUUUUACUCUGAGACAAAAGCCUGAACAUUGUGGUUUCUCCUGGGAAAGCAGCGACUCUUCCAGGAGAAACUAAACAUCUGUAUAAGGCCACAGUCUCUCACUUAUUCUCCCCACUGUUAGAAAUACCCUAUUUUGAAUAGCCUAUUUCCAAGUAUAACUCUUGCUACAGGCCUUUCUUUUUAAAAAGCUAUUUAUCAUUGUCUGGAAGGGCCUGGCUCAUGUGCUUCAGACCAGGUCCACAAGGGCAUAUUUAGUUCCAUUAAACAUGUCCAUAUUGGAUGCUAAUUCUCAUUAAUUACUACUAUUGGCCAUUAAGGCCUUUAGCAUCUCCCAGGUGCAAGCCUCACUGUUUAGAGAGUAACAUUUAAAAAUCAUUAUCAUAUUAUGCAAUGCUAGCCCUACUAUAAACUAUAAAAAUGCAUUCACAUCAAGCAACACAACAAUAACAGCUUAAUGCCAUCUAUCUGUACAGACCACACAUGCCGUAUCACUAAAACAAAUUCAUGACAUUCAUGAAAACAUGCAUGACAUACCAUGGACACCUCAAAAUAUUGUGGGUUUGUGACAGAUCUUACUGUCUUGCAAUCCAUUGUUUGCUUAAAGACCUUCUGCUUCAAGACAUUGUCCUUCACUAGGAGCUCUGUGACCUCUUUGUCCUUGAUGGUGCAGAGUUCAGGUUGCUGCUACAUUGUUUUUCUUUUAGUACUUCCAUAUUUAGUAUCCCUACUUUACUUUUGAUAUUGUACUGUACAGUUUUAUUGCAUCUCCCAUGAGAUAUAGUCAGGGAUGAAGAUCCCAUUGUGUGAUAUGUCUCCCCAGUUUAUAUUUGCCUGCAGCCCUAGGUGGGUGAGAUUCAGUCCUGUGUCGGUAACAACAAAGAAUAACUAUUACAGUAUCUUACCUUUAAAGACUGAUACCUCCAUGUGUCAGUACUAGAAAUGGACCCUUUUAUUCCUUGCAAUGGGAGAAGUCCCAGCUUGAUGAGACUGAGCGCUCAGGACAGCUGCGGUUGAUGAAGUUCCCAUGACCUUUAGGGAAUAUCAUCACCACAGAUUUACUAUGCCAGACAGUAGUGCGUUUCAGCCUUCCAUGCUGUUCUGUGUGGGCUGUCUGCCAAACUAGUAGCUGUGUAGCCAGGUUUUCAUGAUGCUAAGUGCUGGCUAAUUAUCAUGGUUGAGAGGGAGAGCUAAUUAGGCUGCCUAAAGUGCCGUGUGUAAGGUGCCGUGGAGUGUUUGAGUGGUGCCACUUUGAGGCACAAUAUUUUAUGAUGCACACUAGUGUUCUGUGUUUAGAAAAUCUAUUUUGGGUCACGUUUAGUGUUCCUUAGGGCUCAGUUGGAAGUUUAUACGUCUAGAUCGGUGAUUGUUAACCAGGUGCCUUGAGAUCCUUUCAAGGGUCCCACAGGGCGCCACACACUGUUAACAUUGUUUAGGUUUUUCAGCACGAUUCACAAUGUAAACCCAGAGAUUUCAAAUAGAAAUCCAUAAUUGUGUCUCUUUGAGUGCUUUGCAACAGAAAAACUGCUCUAUUUUUAUUUUUACUUUUAUUUUUAUUAUUGUUAUUAUUAUUAUGCAUGCCUCAAGUCUAUCUAGGCAUGCCUUAUGUCUAAAAAUGUUGAGAACUAUUGGUCUAGAUUCAUGAUACCUAAGGCCUCUGACUUUGUAAGCAAAGCAAUCACACCUCUAGGACUGUUUCUUUGAUCUUUUGUUUUAAAAAUUCUCUAAAAUAUGACAAAAAUAGUUUUCUGUAACAUGAGCAUAUAGAGGAACACACAAAGGAGUAGAGUGAGUGAGUGCACGUGUUCAUGCACAUUACUGUAGGCUAACCUAAUUUCACUGUGUAUGAGCAUACCAAUGAUCCAAGUUUACUGCAAUGAAACUUCUGUCUCACAUUACCCUGUGAUGCCAUGUGCAUGUCUGUGCCUGUGUGUGUGUGUGUGUGUGUGUGUUAUAUAUACAUGCACACACACAUUAUGAUCUUUUAGAUUCAGACAGAAAAAACCUUAAGCUUCUUCUGGAGUUAGUGGACAUAUUUACAAGAUUAAAGGUCUGAAAAGUCCAAGUCCUUGUGUGACCUAGAAUAUUGCACCAUGAUCUUGUUUUGGCAAGUCAGAAUACAAGAUUUUCUGAAAUCUUCGUAUAUGGUAAGUAAAGAAAUUACAUUUAGAGCAACCUAACUAGGGUUAGACUGAUCUAAACACCCAUCUGUGCAGAAUCUUGGGUUUUAAUCAACCAAAAAUGGUGGGCCCAAUCUAAGUUAGUUUACCUGAGGAGGUGACCUAACCUAGAUCAGAAAGAGGUUAACCCAAUCCAGCACAGGUUUGGGCACAGCCCUGGGGCUGGGAAAGCUCAACCACUCGCCCCAGUCCUGGAGCUGUGCACUUCCUACCCCCUUGACCUAUUUUUAGCUCCCUGACCUCCCCACCCCCAGAGGGAAAACCCUUCCCCCAAACUCACCAGUUCCCCUCUGUUCCUGCCAAACCCCUCCUGGACCCACCAACCCCACCAUGGAUCCACUUGACCCCCUCAGUCCCACAUGCCCCUCUCCCCACCCUGAGUUACUUACACUGGGUUCCCCAUGCAGCUCCCAGCACUGGCAAAUACCUGUACAUGCUCUUCCCAGUCUGUGAUCAUGCAGCUUAAAGCAAGCUGUGAGAUCAUAGACUGGGUGCAAUGAACCUUUGGGUGUGCCCUUUGUUCCCUCUUGGACUACUGAAGGAUGAUAUAAGACUCUAAUAUUUGGUGUGGAAGUCUAUGUUGCUAAUGGCUAUUGCAAUUCUUAUUCAAAACUCAGUUCAAUCCAUGCAACUUGAAAAAAAAUUGUUUGCACUGAUAUUCAACAAAGAACAUUGCUCUUCAGGUAAGAGAGUUUUUUUGCCUACCAGGUGUGCCUAGGUUGCUGUGGCAAUAAAAACAAAGAAAUAAUUAUACUAUAAUAAUGCGGGUGGACGUUUCGCAUAAUAUCUUCAUUUUUUUCAUGACUAGUAACAAAGAAUUUUAAAAGAAAGGAACCGGCACAAAUGACUUCUUAAUCAAAAAAUGUCAUGUUAUUUAUUCAUCAUAAAAAUUAAUUCUAUUCCCCCUUCCAAAAAAAAGGACUUUGUGUAUGCAUGCCAGUGUUUGGAAAGGAAAGGAAAAAAAGAAUAUAAGGAUGAAGAAAAUUAACUUUGUUUUUUAAGAAGUAGAAUUAAUGCUAACUUUUCUUCUUCCUUCGAUGAGUAAAGCAUUUAAGUUUGGUCAAGUAAAAACAUGAAAAAUUAGGAUUGUUUUCAGAGAUGAAACCAAGAAGGUAGUCCAGCUAACACUUGUUGUCCCAAGUAAUUUAAAAUUUGUAUUUUGUUCAUUAAAAGUGCAUUAAAAGAUGAAUAACAUGAAAUAAUUUUGAUUGAUGCUGAAAUAAGAGAAGGGGUAUGUAAAAUUCCAGGAGUUUGUUUUAAGCCCUGAAAAAUGUUGAUUGAUCAUCAGCUCCCAGUGCCCAAGGUCAGUUGUGAUCGGCAUUCUUUACCAUUAAAAGGAUCUUUAAUGUCCUCUGUGAAGUGAGUCCAGUCACUAGUGAACCAGGACUGUUGAUUUAAAGCUCCAGAAGUGGGCUUGGCUUCUGUUUUGGGGUCUAGCACAACAAUUUGCAUCUUAUUUUGUAGCCUCAACAAAAACAGUUGAAUCUGGAAUGGGCACAAGGGCCAAAGUACAUUUGCAUCCUGCAAAGGCUGUUGCUCCACCUCAGACUGAGUUACGCUGAUGGAGCAGCAUGGGAAAACACUUGCAUUGCACUGUCCAUGCUCAUGUCUUCUGGAUUCUGGCCAGGGAUUUCUCAUUUCUAUUUGCUAGGCAAAAGGUGGGGCAGUGUGGCACCUUAGAGACUGACUUGUUCAGAAAUACAUAAGUUCUCAUAAGCAACAGCUUACUUCAGUGUUUCUCAACCUUUUAAAACUUACUUUCCAGCUAGCGGAAUAGCAAAAGACUCAUUCUGUAGAGAAAUGGAAUAGAUGGGCAUCAAAGGUCCAGUACCGCAAACAUGCUUAUUUGCACUAAGAUCUGUGCAGUGAUUUAUAGGUAGAGCUCUACCUAACUUGAGGAGGUGGCUAGCUCAGUUUUGCAGGUAGAUCCUGGGGCUGGCCACUAUUUUUGUGGGCUGAACAUUGUGGGCCCCCACCCCAUGACUUUGACUGAGGGGCCCUGGUGGCCCCAUCCCUCACCAUUGAUUGGUUGCAAGGGCUGUCUGUCAUACAGCCCUGCCUCUCACCACGACUGGUGGUGAGAUUGGCUGAGGAGCCAAUCAGCAGCAAGAGGCUCCCUCUGGGGAGCCAGCAUUUUAUUUUCAAGAAGUUUUUUUGUUUUUUUGUUUUUUUAAAUGCAGCUAGACUGCCAAAAUCACAGAGCCCACCAUUUUUUUGCAAAGGUUGCCCAAAUGUGUGGUUUCCACAAAAAUGGCAUAGUCGUGAAUCUGGUAGGUUGUGAAUUAUAAGUAGCUCACUUGUUUGCUCUGUCCACAAUUGAUCAGAAAGUUGUGCUUUCAGAUGUAUGCAGGAUUUAAGUUGUGUUGGCAGAAGCUAGGCUUUGAUGCUCUGCUCCUAGCAGUAGAAAUCUGUCCAGGUGGAGGGGAGGAAAGGAUGUAGAUGCCAUUUUGAGACACUGGCUGCCAUUAUAAACAGAGCAAAUGCCUGCUGGCAGGCCAGGCAGAAACAUCGCCUGGCUGAGUUGCUGUAUGGGAACAUCUUCAGGUAGGAGCAGGAGGCUCUUGGUCUUGGGCAUGACCUAAAACUGCACCCUGCUGGAAGUGGGUGACCUGGUGGGGCUCUCAGUGGUGCAGGAGCCUCCAGGAAAAUACCAGACCAGUUACCACCCCAGAGGAAGGUGGGUCAGGGUGCCUCAGUAACCCCUAGCCUCCACACCACUGUGGGUAGCAGUUGGGACCGGGCACGGCCACCUGAGCCCCCACUGGGGAGGGAAGUCCUGUAGCCCCAGUGAGGGGGUAAAAUAUGUGGAGCCCCAGUAAGGGUAGGCCCCAGUGAAGGGGUAGAGAUGUGGAGCCCUAGUGAGGGAGAAACCAGAGGGCUGGGAGCCCAGUGUGUGUGUGUGAGAGUUUGUGUAGAGUUGCCCUUGGAGGGGGCCAGGGCAAGCUUGGCCCCGGCCAGGUAAUUGGCCGGCCAUUACCCCAGUGAGGGUUGUGGAAGAGGCCCAAAAGUCGGUAAGUCUACCACCCAUGGUGUGCACUAGAUAAAGCCUAUGGCUGAAUGGACCCGCUCUAAGAGGGAGCAAGGCAGUAUAAGUUAUUGAAGCAUGAAAGAGACCCUACGAGAGGAGGUGGAGCGUGAGAGGCCCCAGUGAGAGGAGGGCAGUAUGAGUGCAUGUAUGAAUGAGGCCUGACAACAAGGGCUAAGCUUGGUCUGGCUGUAGGCUGGGAGUAUUUGUGUCACCUGGAUGCCAUCUGCGAGGCUUGGGCUGUGGUGUAGGGGAGGAUCGGAGCCGCAGAGAUUGCCCCCUGGCAUUGGGGCAAGAACGGGCAGCCUCCUGUCUAAUGAGAACCAAUUAUGAAACAACAAAGUGUGGCAGGUGAGUGAAGUGGGAGGUUAGCCCAGAAACAGGUGGGUGGGCCAAUGGCGAACCAGCCCCGAGAAAGCCCCCUGUUACACACAACUUGAUGAGUAGGGGAUGUCAUUGGUGUCCUUUCAAUAAAUCAAGUUCUAAUGUUUAGGAACCUACCAAAAUUGUGCUUUCAGGAUUUUCACGGAACCAUGAUUUUGGGCAGGCUUUGUUAAAAAGCGUGGACUCUGCACUUUUGGCAAACUUGGUGCAAUACUUCAGCCCCCCCUCUACCCUCCCCAAAACCAACCCCAACAACAACAACAAAAAACAACUGACAAAACCCCCCCUAAACUUAUUGGAAAGCAGAGAAGCCCUGCAGUUUUGGAGCAUGGGAGGGCGGAGGCAGAAAGAAGUGGUAGGGAGGAGGGAGGUGCAGGGUGGGGCUGCUUGCAGCAGCGAGCAGAGCAACCAUCCCCAUCCCAGGGCCACAGAACAUGUACAGAGCAUUUGCUAUGGUGAACACACUGCACAUAGUUGAAUAAAACCCAUCAAAGGGCAAGAGGUCAUCACUACCUGGAGAAGAAGGAAAGGGGAGGACAGCGGCAAGUCAGGCACAACCUACAAACUGCCCACCCCUCAUAACUUUACAGGGUUUAUUGCUGCAAGUUUGUCAUAGCAAACACUUUAUACGUGGUCUGUGGCCCUGGGAUGGGGCUGCUCAUCCCACUUGCUGCUGCAAGCAGCCCUGCUUUGUUUGUUUCCCUCCUCUCUGCUGUCUUCCCCCCACCCCCUUGCUCCAGGACUGCAGGGCUUCUCUGCUUACUGGUGUAAACAAACAAACAAAAAUUGGUUUUUUUUUUAUUGUGUUUUUUCCCCCAGCAAGCUGCCACUAGGGGAUGGCCUGAAACUGCCAGCUUAAUUAUGCUGUUUAAACCUGUAGAAGCCAUUAAUUCACAUUUAAUAACACAUGGAUUAAUGGCUUCCCUGAGCUUAAUUGGAGUAAUUAAGAUGCAGUUUCAGGCCAUGUGGCAAUCUGUGGAGAGGAGUGGGACUGCCAGGGUCCCUGGGUCAAUCAAAGGCAUAAGGGGCCCAGUAUGCGUAGCCUGCAAAAAUGGCAGCUGGCCCUGAGAUCUGCUUUCAAAAUUGGCUGGCCACCUCCUCAAGCUCAAUAGACCCCUACUAAUGUCCAAGGUUUCAAAGAGCUCAAGAAUUGCUCUGUAAAAUUUGGAUUCUGUUCUACUCUAGCUUACAGUCUGGACUUGAAUCUGGACGCCUUAUACAUUGUGGAAAGGUCCUCUAGAAUACAAUAGGAACUGAAAUAAUCAGGUUCUAUGAAAAUGUAAUAGGUUGCUAUAGAAAUGAUUCUAAAUAUUGUGAAAUUUAAUAGAAAAUGACAUCCUUUUAUGUCUUUUAAAAUUACCUGACAGUAUUUUAUACAAAGGGUGUGAUUAUUCUAAAAGAUGAUUUUAAAAGAGCUUUAGAAAAUGGAUUCUAUUAGGAUUUUGCUUUUCUACUCUGAAGUUUCCUUUGAAAGCAGGAGAAAUACAUGUUUAGCCCAAGACCUCUAUUUAAGGUUCUGCUGGGAUCAGUAUAAUUGGAGAUUAGAAAUUCCUAUUCCAGGUCACUGAGUACAUCAUGCUGGAUGGAGAGGGUAUUGUUUCAGUCAUGAGCAUAGUAUGGUGAAAUGAAAGUCUACAAAAUACAAUUCUUGUGCAAUAUGUCAGGACUAGAGCUGAGUGAAUAGUAGAUGUGUGUAACAGAUAUCCAUAUAAUACAUAUUGGUUUAGUGGCUGAACCUAAAAGUUGGAGUGGGAGAGGCUUCAACAUGUUUUGUUUACAUUUUAAAAUAAUUCAACCAUUUUUUCUUUAAAUUUAGGCCAACUAUUAAACCAAAUAUACCAUUUUGCAACCAAAGUCAACAUUUUGCCUCAAAAUAUACUGAAGUGAAACAUUUCAUCAUUCUGAAAAAUGCUGAAAUGAAAUAUUUAAAUUUUCCCUCUUUUUAUUUGAGGCUGAAGCUGUUCACUAAAAUCAUUCAGCAUCAAUAGGUUCAGUCCCUUUGAAACUCCUUUUCUUUUCUUUUUUUUGGCAAAACAUUUCCCUCAGUUCUGGUCAGGAUUUCCAGAUGCUCCACCCAAUCCUGUAAAAUUGUAGCUGUGUUAUCAGCCGCAUCUGUGCAUCCCUGGUUUUUGAUUUUUUUGUUGGGGUUUUUAUUUUUAUUUUUUUUUUGAGCGCGGUGCCUUUUGUAUUUCUAGGAGCCUGCAGGUUCAGUCCUUAUUUUCUGAAAGGCAGUUCUUACACUGAAGGUUUCAGAGGAGAUGCACACAACAUGGUCUGUCAAGCAUUUUUUACUUUUGUGCUUUCUUGCCUGUUUGCUUUUCUCUUCUUCACAGGUCACUGUAAGGGAAAGUUACCCUAAAUAAGGAAAUACAACAUCAUUAAUUAUUCUCACAAGCUGUGCUUCCACAUGGCUCUUCUUGGGGUCAUUGUAAAUGGUAAUUCCAGUUUUUAAUGAUAUUUUUGUAGAUGUUGUGUUUAACGUGGGUGUGGUCCGUGUGAUGUCAAACAGAAAGCCAUGAGGGUUUAAGUUAAUAUAUUGUUCCAGCAUCUUUAAAUAACUUGCCUCCUAGCUCAUGUUAAUAGGAUCCAACCAGUCCUUUCCAAUAGACCCCUGAUUUGUGCGAGUAUUGUAUUUCGGGGGAAUUUUGUGCAAGUCAGAUUCACCUAAGUUGGGACGACUUUCCCCAUAGGAAAUAAUAGAAUAGUGAGGGGUUGUGUACCCCAGACAUACCUUAGUCAUAGCUUUUUUUCCCCUUUUCUCGGCAGAAUCGCCUUUAGGAGGUGCGUCUAGCGUCUCACCUAUGCAUCUUGAUGCACAGUGGUGGUACAGCUCCACUUGAUUCCACCUGCAAAUUUUGUGAGGCGUUUGUGUAUAUAUGCCCGUAUAUAUGCGAAUCUCGCAAGCGUUCAUGUAUAUACACGAAUGAUGCACAUCUUGAGAGGCGUUUUCCAGUCCAGACCCUAAUAAAAAAUCAUGUGAACACGUGGCAUGCCUAAGUCGGACUCGCGUAAAUCAGGGGUCUACUGUAUAGAAGUUCCUAUACUUACAGCUUAUUUGUAUAAAGAAUGAUCUUUUCAUGGCUCUUUUGCACAAGGCACUUACCUCCAUACUGCACAGUUUCAAAUUAAAUUGCAAUGAGCAGCUAUUCCCACUGGGAGAGUCCAGAUCUUAUGAGGAAAAAAAUAAGCACUUGUCCCUUUUGUCACCAUCAGACUUGAUAUUUGUUCUGCCAACGCUCUUCUGCUCCCCUGUAGGUUUAGCUGAAAAUUCAUCUGCUUCCACCAUUAUUAUCUCCAAGAUUAGCAUCUCCUUCUACUACUAAUUCAGUAUGAUGGGUGCAUGGGAACUAGGACAGAAGACUGACAAAAGAGAUGGUUGUAACAGACAGGCAUGGAGCUGUUUAAAAUUCAACAUUUUUGAGUGUGAAAAGAGAAUGCUUGAAGGUGUAUAGGGAUAGGGUGGAUGGUAGAAGGGAGAACAAACCUGGUCCGAGGAAAAAGAACAUUAAAGGAAAGAUAAAUGGAAGUCAGGGAGAUGAUACUUUCAAUAAGGAAAAAGUUCACUAGACAAUGAACAAUAAGUUUUCCCACAGCUAAGACGGUAUGUUUUCUUCUUUAGUGCCAUUAACCACAGAUAAAGGAAACCCACUUUCUGCUAUCACCUACUUCAUCUCAACUUGAGAGCCUUUCCUCUCCAUGGAGGCAGUGACUCAGCAUAUAUAUAUAUAUAUAUAUAUUAAGAAUACUUUAUGUAACCUUUAAGUCUUCCAUGUACAAUGUGAACAUUAACUCUCUUGGAGCCUUUUUCCCUCCUUACAGCUGGCAGAACUGAACCAAAAUGACUGAGUUGCCUGAGGCUGUACAGAGAACCUGAAGCAACGCAGCCUUUUUGAAUUUCUGCAACAUGCCUGGUCCAUCUGCCUUACAGAAGUACCUUCUGAACAACAGAGUAACACCUCUAACACCAUACUUAGAAAACCGGGCAGGUCACAGAAAUGGAUAUUUCUGACUUUUGAAGAUAAGGAUAAAUGUUGCCCCCUUAUUGAUGCAAACAUUAUGCACUGACUAUGAGACUGAGAAAAGUUAAAGACCAGACUAAGCUCAUCCCCAUUUGUGCUUAAAUUUCCUGCUCCCACCCUCUUCUUUGAAACUGCUAUCCAAUUUUCUAAACAUGGACAGCUACGCCGGUAGACAGUGCCUUGUAUAAUGAUGGUACCCAUCUUUUUCUGUGCUCUUCCUUCACAACUCCAAAAGCAACAUCAUUGGAAUAACAAGAAAGUCCGCAGUCAGUUAAAACAUACAUAUUUCCCCAGUUGUCAGUCUUUCCCUUCUGAAGUUAAUGAACACCAACUGCUUGACCAAUAAUAAGGUUCAUGCCUAAGCUUGGGUUUGUAUAAAAUGUGUAUGUUUGUCUUCAGAAAGUAGAAGAGGAACUCUUUAUUGUUGCCUAGGGAUGAAAUCAGAAUUCCCAUUAGGUGCCUUAGAGGUGUAAUGAUGUGGCCAGGUACCUAGGACAGCUGUCACACACAAGAGCAGCAGCAACUUCUGGUUUCUGCCACACUGCUAGCAUUUUUUCCACUUCUCCCCCUUUCCCUCCCCCGCCAAUUUGGUGUCCAGGGCAGCUGCCCCUGUUGCUCUGCCCAAUUUCUGCCACUGAGGUGCUUGCAGCCUUUAUCGAUGACUUUGUUACUCCUGGUGGGGCUAUGAUAUAGACACAGACAUGAGCAGAUCUAGGAUUUUGAAAAGGGGCGGGGUACAAAUGGUGUGGUGCAUCAUUACACAUAACACAACACACAUUUUUCUCCAGGUAAAAAGAAAAUAGCAGCUUUACUAAUAAGCUAGGGACAUAGGGGAUAUUAUUCAGUUUAAGAUCAAAGCAAAAAACAAAUAUAACUUUAUUGGAAUGUGCUAUACCAUAUCUUCUGUAUAAAAACACAACAAACUAGGCAAAAAUAAUCAAAAGAUGUUGUUUCUCUAGCCCUGCUGUGAUUCGAAUUAAAUGUAUAUCUCUUUCAAAUUCAUAAAAUAAAAUCGGGCCUUCUUGAGCAUCUUGA
This is a long non-coding RNA of Alligator mississippiensis (American alligator), 16136 nucleotides long. RefSeq lists it as uncharacterized. The record is from RefSeq and is a predicted model, not a curated record. The transcript is spliced from 2 exons. Lineage: Eukaryota; Metazoa; Chordata; Crocodylia; Alligatoridae.